UCACAUCCAUCUUCUACAUGUUUGUUGCCCAUUGCAAGAUUUGAUUCACCAAAAUUAUCCUGAGUGCUGUUUGAUGUUUCCACAGGAAAGUCAUCUGUUUUUUGAUCAAGCUGUCCAGAAGCCACAGCUUCCUGCAUCACAUCUNNNUCCGCUAUGUCCUCCACUUCAUUACUCACUAUGUCCUCCACUUCAUUGGCUCCAUUUGCCUGAAGAUCUAAAACAGCAUCAGCUUGACUUAAGUUCUCAUUUAUGACUUCAUCAUCC
RNAcentral lists this unclassified non-coding RNA (264 nucleotides) under Hevea brasiliensis (rubber tree). The record is from RNAcentral. Lineage: Eukaryota; Viridiplantae; Streptophyta; Magnoliopsida; Malpighiales; Euphorbiaceae.